RNAcentral lists this ribosomal RNA (492 nucleotides) under uncultured bacterium. Its description in RNAcentral is "bacterial SSU rRNA". It matches the Rfam family "Bacterial small subunit ribosomal RNA", at positions 28 to 524 of the family's 1533-position model. The record is from RNAcentral.
GACGAACGCUGGCGGCGUGCUUAACACAUGCAAGUCGAGCGGUAAGGCCCUUUCGGGGGUACACGAGCGGCGAACGGGUGAGUAACACGUGGGUGACCUGCCCUCAGCUCUGGGAUAAGCCUGGGAAACUGGGUCUAAUACCGGAUAUGACUCCAUGACGCAUGUUGUGGGGUGGAAAGCCUUGUGCGGCUGAGGAUGGGCCCGCGGCCUAUCAGCUUGUUGGUGGGGUGANGGCCUACCAAGGCGACGACGGGUAGCCGGCCUGAGAGGGCGACCGGCCACACUGGGACUGAGACACGGCCCAGACUCCUACGGGAGGCAGCAGUGGGGAAUAUUGCGCAAUGGGCGAAAGCCUGACGCAGCGACGCCGCGUGAGGGACGAAAGUCUUCGGAUUGUAAACCCCUUUCGGGAGGGAAGAUGGAACGAGCAAUCGUUCGGACGGUACCUCCAGAAGCAGCCACGGCUAACUUCGUGCCAGCCGCCGCCGUAAU